This 72-nucleotide transfer RNA is filed under the name Camelus bactrianus (Bactrian camel). It matches the Rfam family "tRNA". From Rfam's summary of the family: Transfer RNA (tRNA) molecules are approximately 80 nucleotides in length. Their secondary structure includes four short double-helical elements and three loops (D, anti-codon, and T loops). RNAcentral also lists the same sequence under 2 other names. The record is from Rfam by way of RNAcentral. Lineage: Eukaryota; Metazoa; Chordata; Mammalia; Artiodactyla; Camelidae.
UGGGGUACAGCUCUGUGGUAGAGCGUGAGCUUAGCAUGUGUGAGGUCCUGGGUUCAACCCCCAGUACUUCCA